UCAAGUGACUAAGUGUAUGUGGUGGAUGCCUUGGCGAUCAUAGGCGAUGAAGGACGUGUAAGCCUGCGAAAAGCUGCGGGGAGUCGGCAAAAAGACUUUGAUCCGCAGAUGUCCGAAUGAGGAAACUCACCGGGUAACCGGUAUCACAAACUGAAUACAUAGGUUUGUGAGGCGAACGCAGUGAACUGAAACAUCUAAGUAACUGCAGGAAAAGAAAUCAACCGAGAUUGCGGCAGUAGCGGCGAGCGAAACCGCAGCAGCCUAGUUUUUGAUAAUGCAUGGUGACAGCAGAACGGUCUGGAAAGGCCGGCCACAGUGGGUGACAGCCCCGUAUGCGAAGUCCGGUGCAUGGUACUAAAAAGACGAUAAGUAGGGCGGGACACGUGACAUCCUGUCCGAAGAUGGGGGGACCAUCCUCCAAGGCUAAAUACUCAUGAUCGACCGAUAGCGAACCAGUACUGUGAAGGAAAGGCGAAAAGAACCCCGGGAGGGGAGUGAAAUAGAACCUGAAACCGCAUACAUACAAACAGUAGGAGCCCUACGGGGUGACUGCGUACCUUUUGCAUAAUGGGUCAGCGACUUACGUUUUGCGGCAAGCUUAACCGAGUAGGGGAGGCGCAGCGAAAGCGAGUUCGAACAGAGCGAUAGAGUCGUAAGGCGUAGACCCGAAACCAGAUGAGCUAACCAUGGCCAGGUUGAAGGUGUGGUAACACACACUGGAGGACCGAACCGACCGGUGUUGCAAAACCGGCGGAUGAGCUGUGGUUAGGGGUGAAAGGCUUAACAAAUCUGGAGAUAGCUGGUUCUCCCCGAAAACUAUUGAGGUAGUGCCUCGUGACUGACUCCGGGGGGUAGAGCACUGUUAUGGCUAGGGGGACAUGGCGUCUUACCAAACCAUGGCAAACUCCGAAUACCCGGAAGUUGAAUCACGGGAGACAGAGCACCGGGUGCUAACGUCCGGACUCAAAAGGGAAACAACCCAGACCGCCGUUUAAGGUCCCAAAUACAGGCUAAGUGGAAAACGAAGUGUGAAGGCUAAGACAGUCAGGAAGUUGGCUUAGAAGCAGCCAUCCUUCAAAGAAAGCGUAAUAGCUCACUGAUCGAGUCCUCAUGCGCGGAAGAUGUAACGGGGCUAAGUCUGUAACCGAAAGCGCGGAUUUGCACGCAAGUGCAAGUGGUAGGGGAGCGUUCUGUAAGCCUGCGAAGGUGUGUGGUAACGCAUGCCGGAGGUAUCAGAAGUGCGAAUGCUGACAUGAGUAACGAUAAAGCGGGUGAAAAGCCUGCUCGCCGUAAGCCCAAGGUUUCCUGCUCUACGUUCAUCGGAGCAGGGUGAGUCGGCCCCUAAGGCCAGGCUGAGAAGCGUAGCUGAUGGGAAGCAGAUUAAGAUUUCUGCACCGACGUUAAGUGCGAAGGGGGGACGGAGUUUUGAGCAUCAUCCGGGUGUUGGAUGUCCCGGUUUGUGCGUGUAGGAGGCCGGCAGGCAAAUCCGCCGGCGAAUCUCCGAGACAAAGCAUCGAGCUGCAUUUUGCAGUGAAGUGAUGGGAUGAACUUCCAGGAAAAGCCUCUAAGCUAUAGCUUAAUGUCGACCGUACCGUAAACCGACACAGGUGGGCGAGUUGAAUAUACUCAGGCGCUUGAGAGAACUCGGGAGAAGGAACUCGGCAAAUUGACACCGUAACUUCGGGAUAAGGUGUGCCUUUGUAGUGUGAAGAGUGAAACACUCCGAGCAUGAAGAGGUCACAGAGAAUAGGUGGCUGCAACUGUUUACUAAAAACACAGCACUCUGCAAAGACGAAAGUCGACGUAUAGGGUGUGAUGCCUGCCCGGUGCCGGAAGAUUAAGUGAUGGGGUGAGAGCUCCUGAUCGAAGUCCCGGUAAACGGCGGCCGUAACUAUAACGGUCCUAAGGUAGCGAAAUUCCUUGUC
RNAcentral lists this ribosomal RNA (1925 nucleotides) under human gut metagenome. Its description in RNAcentral is "bacterial LSU rRNA". It matches the Rfam family "Bacterial large subunit ribosomal RNA", at positions 3 to 1973 of the family's 2925-position model. The record is from RNAcentral.